AGCAUGUGGUUUAAUUCGAAGCAACGCGAAGAACCUUACCAGGCCUUGACAUGCAGAGAACUUUCCAGAGAUGGAUUGGUGCCUUUCGGGAACUCUGACACAGGUGCUGCAUGGCUGUCGUCAGCUCGUGUCGUGAGAUGUUGGGUUAAGUCCCGCAACGAGCGCAACCCUUGUGUUUAGUUGCAAACAGGUCAAGCUGUGCACUCUAGACAGACUGCCGUGGACAACACGGAGGAAGGUGGGGAUGACGUCAAAUCAUCAUGCCCCUUAUGAUCUGGGCUACACACGUGCUACAAUGGCCGGUACAACGGGCAGCGAAGGAGCGAUCCGGAGCGAAUCCUAAAAAGCCGGUCCCAGUUCGGAUUGCAGGCUGAAACUCGCCUACAUGAAGUUGGAGUUGCUAGUAAUCGCGAAUCAGAAUGUCGCGGUGAAUGCGUUCCCGGGUCUU
Molecule: ribosomal RNA, 448 nt
Filed under: uncultured Fusibacter sp.
Lineage: Bacteria; Bacillati; Bacillota; Clostridia; Eubacteriales; Fusibacteraceae
Description: bacterial SSU rRNA
Rfam family: Bacterial small subunit ribosomal RNA
Source: RNAcentral